UCUCAACAAAGAGCUUGUCUGAUGCUUGCAGGUGUCGAUGGGGUUGCUCAACAAGACGAAUGGACCACUGAAGCCUCCUGACAAAUCUGUGUCCUGUGGCUUUUGGACAAACCAGUUCCUCCAGUGAAGUCAUUUGGAAUAUGAACAAUACCUUUAAGGAUCAACCGAACUCAUAGAACUGCAUGAAAGUCAUCCUGGCUAAUGUGGAGGAAAAGAUGGGUUUUCAUUAUAAAAUGGUGGCCAUUGGUGAUAUUCACACGGUGGUUUUUUUACAGCAUGUGAAGGAAAAAUGCAAAUUGCGUGUUCAGCUGAUGUUAAUCAGUCCCCUUGCUAAAACAUAGGGGUGAAGAUGUGGAGAUAAAAGCCUGAUGAUGUAGAAGUAUGUGUCGUAUUACUGGCCAGCAUAGAGUGUUGGACAUCCACAUUUUCUUCAAAAACAACUUGAAAGCAGAAAAAAAAUUCCCAGGCCAGACUGUCUCUUCGGGUUCAGUAUCAGAGUAAUACUGCUGAGUGGAAUGCAGAGAUUGUGUAUGGGAAUGAAGGAGUUCCGAUGCCCCCCAACCCAGGUCCUGGUGUGGUCGAAGCAGGAGUACCCAGAUGGUCUCCCUCUGGCACAAGAGAAUCAGGAACACAGCUGCAUUUAACAGAGCAUUCAAGGGUCAGUUUGACAUUAUUAUCUCUGAAAAAGAGACAAUUUUUAGACAUUUUAACAGCAUUAAAGGCUUGUUUGGCCAUUUCAUAGCAUCCUCAUGUGACCAGACAGACCUGGAUGUGUCUGAUUCUGUGAUGAACCAGUUUAAAGUACACUGUAACAUGUAUGUACUUCUUGACAUAACAGUCUGUGCAUAUCUGAUUUUCUUAAGGUCCGUGAAAGUAUCUGUACACUCAAUACACUAAAUAGAAUAGAAUAUAAAUGUCAUAGAUGCAUGACAACCUAAUGAUCACACCUGUGAGUUACAAUAUUGUCCAAAUAUACACUACCAGUCAAAAGUUUG
Amphiprion ocellaris (clown anemonefish) is the source of this 995-nucleotide long non-coding RNA. The record is from Ensembl. Lineage: Eukaryota; Metazoa; Chordata; Actinopteri; Pomacentridae.